AUGCCGCCACUCUGCCCGAUGCAAAUGGCAUGGAACAUCGACGGCGCCCCCGAAGGACGGCAGGCAGCUUUCGAGCUGGCGUUCGGGAUUGCUCAGGUAACCGGCCUGGCCGAGAUAGUCAUGUGCAACUCGUUCCUCGAGGCCGAGGUCGGGGCAUUCGAGCUGUGCCCGAACAUAGUGCCCGUCGGCCCACUGAUUGCCGACCAGGAGCUCCAGGAGCCCAUCGGGCAGUUCUGGCCGGAAGACGCGAGCUGCUUAGGAUGGCUGGAUAGGCAGCCCGAAGGCUCCGUCAUGUACGUGGCGUUCGGCAGCUUCACCAUCUUCGACCCGCGGCAAUUCCGGGAGCUGGCCGAGGGGCUGGAGCUCGCCGGCCGGCCGUUCCUGUGGGUGGUGCGUCCGGACUUCACCUCUAGCGGCCUCAGCAAGGCGUGGUUCGACGAGUUCCAGAAGCGCGUCGCCGGCAACGGCAUGAUCGUCAGCUGGUGCCCCCAGCAGCAGGUUCUGGCGCAUUCGGCGGUGGCAUGCUUCGUGUCACACCGCGGAUGGAACUCGACGAUGGAGGGGGUGGGGAACGGCGUCCCCAUCCUGUGCUGGCCCUACUUCUCUGACCAGUUCGCGAACCAGAGCUACAUUUGCGACACUUGGAGUACUGGUUUAGGUGUGACGCAUGGCGUG
RNAcentral lists this ribosomal RNA (675 nucleotides) under Triticum aestivum (bread wheat). Its description in RNAcentral is "partial small subunit ribosomal RNA". The record is from RNAcentral. Lineage: Eukaryota; Viridiplantae; Streptophyta; Magnoliopsida; Poales; Poaceae.